AACGGGUGAGUAAUGCGUGACCAACCUGCCCCAUGCUCCAGAAUAGCUCUUGGAAACGGGUGGUAAUGCUGGAUGCUCCAACUUGACGCAUGUCUUGUUGGGAAAGUGUUUAGUGGCAUGGGAUGGGGUCGCGUCCUAUCAGCUUGUAGGCGGGGUAAUGGCCCACCUAGGCUUCGACGGGUAGCCGGCCUGAGAGGGCGGACGGCCACAUUGGGACUGAGAUACGGCCCAGACUCCUACGGGAGGAGCAGCG
This 253-nucleotide ribosomal RNA is filed under the name uncultured Gardnerella sp. RNAcentral's name for it is "partial 16S ribosomal RNA". It matches the Rfam family "Bacterial small subunit ribosomal RNA", at positions 101 to 348 of the family's 1533-position model. The record is from RNAcentral. Lineage: Bacteria; Bacillati; Actinomycetota; Actinomycetes; Bifidobacteriales; Bifidobacteriaceae.